Molecule: ribosomal RNA, 451 nt
Filed under: Monopylephorus rubroniveus
Lineage: Eukaryota; Metazoa; Annelida; Clitellata; Tubificida; Naididae
Description: partial 16S ribosomal RNA
Rfam family: Bacterial large subunit ribosomal RNA
Source: RNAcentral
AAGUCCUGCCCAAUGAAAUUUCAAUGGCCGCGGUAUCCUAACCGUGCAAAGGUAGCAUAAUCAUUUGCCUAUUAAUUGUAGGCURGAAUGAAUGGAUAAACGAAGUAAUAACUGUCUCUAAUAAYCYUAUAAAAAUUAAUCUUCUAGUGAAGAAGCUAGAAUCAACUUACAGGACAAGAAGACCCUAUAGAGCUUUAUUUAGAUAUAUARUCUUAUUAUAURCACAAUUCAGUUGGGGCGACUAAGGAACUAAUCAUCCUUUAUACCAAAGAAUAACAAUUCAAUAAARGAUCCUUAAACAAGAUCAYAGAAACCAGCUACCUUAGGGAUAACAGGCUAAUUUUUCUGAAGAGUUCAAAUCGAUAGAAAAGAUUGGCACCUCGAUGUUGGCUUAGGAAACCUAUAAGAUGCAGCAAUCUUAACAGGGGGUUUGUUCAACCCAUAAAUUCCU